AAAAAGAAAGAAAGAAAGAAGAAGAAGAAGAAGAAAAAAAGAACUGAAACCGAUUUCUUGUUCUUUUUUUUUUUUUUUUUUUUUUUUA
RNAcentral lists this non-coding RNA (88 nucleotides) under Stygamoeba regulata. The record is from RNAcentral. Lineage: Eukaryota; Discosea; Stygamoebida.